This 468-nucleotide ribosomal RNA is filed under the name uncultured bacterium. RNAcentral describes it as "partial 16S ribosomal RNA". It matches the Rfam family "Bacterial small subunit ribosomal RNA", at positions 28 to 507 of the family's 1533-position model. The record is from RNAcentral.
GACGAACGCUGGCGGCGUGCUUAACACAUGCAAGUCGAACGGAAAGGCCCUGCUUUUGUGGGGUGCUCGAGUGGCGAACGGGUGAGUAACACGUGAGUAACCUGCCAUUGACUUUGGGAUAACUUCAGGAAACUGGGGCUAAUACCGGAUAGGAGCUCCUGCUGCAUGGUGGGGGUUGGAAAGUUUCGGCGGUUGGGGAUGGACUCGCGGCUUAUCAGCUUGUUGGUGGGGUAGUGGCUUACCAAGGCUUUGACGGGUAGCCGUCCUGAGAGGGUGACCGGCCACAUUGGGACUGAGAUACGGCCCAGACUCCUACGGGAGGCAGCAGUGGGGAAGAUUGCACAAUGGGCGGAAGCCUGAUGCAGCAACGCCGCGUGCGGGAUGACGGCCUUCGGGUUGUAAACCGCUUUCGCCUGUGACGAAGCGUGAGUGACGGUAAUGGGUAAAGAAGCACCGGCUAACUACGUG